Molecule: ribosomal RNA, 603 nt
Filed under: Arthrobacter sp.
Lineage: Bacteria; Bacillati; Actinomycetota; Actinomycetes; Micrococcales; Micrococcaceae
Description: bacterial SSU rRNA
Rfam family: Bacterial small subunit ribosomal RNA
Source: RNAcentral
UUUCGGGUGGGUGACGGGUACCUGCAGAAGAAGCGCCGGCUAACUACGUGCCAGCAGCCGCGGUAAUACGUAGGGCGCAAGCGUUAUCUGGAAUUAUUGGGCGUAAAGAGCUCGUAGGCGGUUUGUCGCGUCUGCCGUGAAAGUCCGGGGCUUAACUCCGGAUCUGCGGUGGGUACGGGCAGACUAGAGUGCAGUAGGGGAGACUGGAAUUCCUGGUGUAGCGGUGAAAUGCGCAGAUAUCAGGAGGAACACCGAUGGCGAAGGCAGGUCUCUGGGCUGUAACUGACGCUGAGGAGCGAAAGCAUGGGGAGCGAACAGGAUUAGAUACCCUGGUAGUCCAUGCCGUAAACGUUGGGCACUAGGUGUGGGGGACAUUCCACGUUUUCCGCGCCGUAGCUAACGCAUUAAGUGCCCCGCCUGGGGAGUACGGCCGCAAGGCUAAAACUCWAAGGAAUUGACGGGGGCCCGCACAAGCGGCGGAGCAUGCGGAUUAAUUCGAUGCAACGCGAAGAACCUUACCAAGGCUUGACAUGAACCGGAAUGAUGCAGAGAUGUGUCAGCCACUUGUGGCCGGUUUACUAGGUGGUGCAUGGUGUCGUCAGC